AUCGGAAAAAAUAGCCUAACAUCAUGCUUUUUUGAGUACCAGACCAUAACGCGUGAUGGCUUUUUGAGCAUCGCUCUCAGUCCGACGAAAGGAGGUUCCAAAGCCAGCCCACAGAGUGAUAGUAGAAAAAGUAAGAGCUCCUAAAAUUGGGACAGGGAAAGCAUUAUCCCAGCGAAAGUCGUACGCGAUAAGCCAUGCCUGUGUUAUCUCUUUCUGCGAUGCCUUCCUUUCGUCGCACUGACAAAGACUGCGCUGAAAAAUCCUGUGAGAGCUCCGUAGAGCAUGACGUUCGGUUAUCUUUUCCGAUGGGAGACCUCCUGAAUAUCCCUGUCAAUUAUCAUUAACUUGAGUAAAUUAAGCACGCUCUUCACAUUGGUGGGGGUGAAAAAGUGACAUUUACUUGGCAAAUUUCGGACUUAAGCUCGCAAAAAUGUCAAAAACCCAAUAAGAACAAAUGCCGUUGACCGCGCAUGACUCUACGUGGUGUAGUUUUUUAUGAUAAUUCAAUGACAUGUUUUCUGGGACACCCUGUAUACGACGAAGUAAGUGCCGACACGUUACACGUUGCAUAAUGUAAAAACCCCGAGACUAGGGAACACGAAGGGACAGACACAACACGAAGUCUCAACUUCCCUUCCCUUCGUGUUCCCUAGUCUCGGGGUUGUUACAUUAUGCAUCAUCUUCACCAACUCGCUUGCUUCCUAGCCAUUUUUUCACGUUACACGUAUUUAUACAGUGCCCAGAACAAGAUGACGCAAGGGAAAGACUGUCCCGGGCACUUCAAGCACUGGACAAAAGACCAUUAUCUUACUGUAAAGUAAUGGGAAGAUGGCCCACAAAAGAACAAGACACGAAGCCACUCAAGGCACAGUGUGUCUACCUAAAAGAAAGCCGCUACUAGCAGCCACAUAUCAUAUACCUCAAAACCAGCUAAAUGAGAUGGAGCUGCAGGCGCCCUUAGGGCAGCCACCCUGCUCCAAGUCAUUCCCCCUUGUUUUCUUUUUUAGCAGUUAAUUACUUCUACUACUAAGCAGUAAACAGUGCCCACAGUUAUGGUAAUGCCAUAUGUAUAAUACGCAGAAAGCUCACAUCUAGUAUUGCAAUGUAGUCUCGUUCUCAGGCGAACACCCACACGGCCCACGCCAACACCACCUAGACUGCUGACUCGUCGACGUGACGUAACAACCAGGGAAAGGUGGCGUUGGCACAGCUCUCCGUUUGCUCACUCACUUGCCACAUUGAGCAUGAGUGAGCAUCCUCCUGCGUGAGUUUUGCCGGGGUAUGGGUUUGGCUGGAUAAGAGGUUCACAGAGAGAGUUUGUUCGUUCGAGAGAGGCCGCGAACAGAAGGAGCGCGCAGGCGCAGCAGAGAAGUAGGGAGAGCCUCCAUCGAACAGCGGCCAGCGCUGGGUUACUUCGCAAAAAACACUGUUGUUUCGGAAUGCACAGGUAAACAGGAAAACUAAUAAUACGGUUAUUAAAAUAACGAAGUUCCGAUGUAAUA
Ornithodoros turicata is the source of this 1502-nucleotide long non-coding RNA. RefSeq lists it as uncharacterized. The record is from RefSeq and is a predicted model, not a curated record. Lineage: Eukaryota; Metazoa; Arthropoda; Arachnida; Ixodida; Argasidae. The transcript is spliced from 3 exons.